RNAcentral lists this ribosomal RNA (453 nucleotides) under uncultured organism. RNAcentral describes it as "partial 16S ribosomal RNA". It matches the Rfam family "Bacterial small subunit ribosomal RNA", at positions 332 to 801 of the family's 1533-position model. The record is from RNAcentral.
UACACUCCUGCGGGAGGCAGCAGUGGGGAAUAUUGGACAAUGGGCGAAAGCCUGAUCCAGCAAUGCCGCGUGAGUGAUGAAGGCCUUAGGGUUGUAAAGCUCUUUUACCCGGGAUGAUAAUGACAGUACCGGGAGAAUAAGCCCCGGCUAACUCCGUGCCAGCAGCCGCGGUAAUACGGAGGGGGCUAGCGUUGUUCGGAAUUACUGGGCGUAAAGCGCGCGUAGGCGGCUUUGUAAGUUAGAGGUGAAAGCCCGGAGCUCAACUUCGGAAUUGCCUUUAAGACUGCAUCGCUAGAAUCGUGGAGAGGUGAGUGGAAUUCCGAGUGUAGAGGUGAAAUUCGUAGAUAUUCGGAAGAACACCAGUGGCGAAGGCGACUCACUGGACACGUAUUGACGCUGAGGUGCGAAAGCGUGGGGAGCAAACAGGAUUAGAUACCCGGGUAGUCCCAUGAU